AAUGGAAAGGGAAAAAAAACCUGGUGUAGCAAUACUUAUUUCUGACAAAAUAGACUUUGAAACAAAGCUGUCGUAAGAGGCAAAAAAGGACAUUACAUAAUGGUAAAGGGACCAAUCCAACAAGAGGAGGUAACCCUAGUAAGCAUUUAUGCACCCAAAAUAAGAGCACCUAAAUAUAUAAAGAAAAUCUUGAUGGAUAUAAAAGGAAAAUGAACAGAAACAGAGUCACAUUU
This is a long non-coding RNA of Phyllostomus discolor (pale spear-nosed bat), 233 nucleotides long. RefSeq lists it as uncharacterized. The transcript has 5 exons. NCBI's taxonomy places the organism in Eukaryota, Metazoa, Chordata, Mammalia, Chiroptera, Phyllostomidae. The record is from RefSeq and is a predicted model, not a curated record.